Moritella viscosa is the source of this 288-nucleotide non-coding RNA. The record is from Rfam. Lineage: Bacteria; Pseudomonadati; Pseudomonadota; Gammaproteobacteria; Alteromonadales; Moritellaceae.
CAAGUCCCUGUCAGGCAAGGUUUAACCAACCACCUGUAUCGAGUGUUGCGCCUUUGGCGGAGUUUGAGAUUAGCCGAUGCUUUUCAGUGAGCGAUCACAAUCAAGCGAACAAAAUUGGUGAAGCGUACACAGAGAAUUAUAUAGGCCAUAGGGGUUGUCGUGAUCCUGAAGUACUGGUAUCGCUCCGAUAAAUAUUAGGUCUGACUGACGAGGUUUGUAACGCCAUCGAAGUCCAUGCAAAGCAGCCGUGUUGGUAAGGUUGUGGCGAGUCAGCGGGGUUAUCAAGUC